CGGAGCCCGCCGCGUGCACGAAGAAGGCCUUCUGGUUUGUAAACUGUUUUUGCCGGGAAGUAAAAUUCCCAUGCUUGCUGCCUUGACCUUGCCCGGUGAAUAACCCAAAGCUAACUAUAUGCCAGUGCCCGCGGUAAUACGUAUGUGGCAGUGGUUGUCCGGAUUUAUAGUUAUUGAGCGUUGCGCGCGCGCCCUAUUACCUCUAUUCUUGAUGUUCCCGGCUUAACCUCGAGGGUGGAAUUGAUACUGAUGGGCUUGGACUUGAUCGAGGUAGGCGGAAUUGACGGUGUAGCGGUGAAAUGCUUUGAUAUCGUCUGUAACACCGAUACUGUGGACAGCUUACUAGACUUCAACUGACGCUGAGGCACGAAAGUGUGGGGAUCAAACAGGAUUAGAUACCCUGGUCUGCCACACUGUAAACGUUGAUUACUCGCUGUGUGCGAUAUACAGUACCCGGCUUAACGAAAGCGAUAAGUAAUCCACCUGGGGAGUACGCCGACUACGGUGAAACUCAUGAGAAUUGACGGAAUUGACGGA
This 537-nucleotide ribosomal RNA is filed under the name uncultured Cytophaga sp. RNAcentral's name for it is "bacterial SSU rRNA". It matches the Rfam family "Bacterial small subunit ribosomal RNA", at positions 387 to 927 of the family's 1533-position model. Lineage: Bacteria; Pseudomonadati; Bacteroidota; Cytophagia; Cytophagales; Cytophagaceae. The record is from RNAcentral.